GGCCUAACACAUGCAAGUCGAGCGCUACCUUCGGGUGGAGCGGCGGACGGGUUAGUAACGCGUGGGAAUAUACCCUUCACUAUGGAAUAGCCUCGGGAAACUGAGAGUAAUACCAUAUACGCCCUUCGGGGGAAAGAUUUAUCGGUGAAGGAUUAGCCCGCGUAAGAUUAGAUAGUUGGUGGGGUAAUGGCCUACCAAGUCUACGAUCUUUAGCUGGUUUUAGAGGAUGAUCAGCAACACUGGGACUGAGACACGGCCCAGACUCCUACGGGAGGCAGCAGUGGGGAAUCUUAGACAAUGGGCGAAAGCCUGAUCUAGCCAUGCCGCGUGAGUGAUGAAGGUCUUAGGAUCGUAAAGCUCUUUCGCUAGGGAUGAUAAUGACAGUACCUAGUAAAGAAGCCCCGGCUACUCCGUGCCAGCAGCCGCGGUGAUACGGAGGGGGCUAGCGUUGUUCGGAAUUACUGGGCGUAAAGCGUACGUAGGCGGAUCAGAAAGUAUGGGGUGAAAUCCCAGGGCUUAACCCUGGAACUGCCUCAUAAACUCCUGGUCUUGAGUUCAGGAGAGGUGAGUGGAAUUCCAAG
This 581-nucleotide ribosomal RNA is filed under the name uncultured Alphaproteobacteria bacterium. RNAcentral's name for it is "bacterial SSU rRNA". It matches the Rfam family "Bacterial small subunit ribosomal RNA", at positions 45 to 673 of the family's 1533-position model. The record is from RNAcentral. Lineage: Bacteria; Pseudomonadati; Pseudomonadota; Alphaproteobacteria.